UGCUACGCCGUCUGGUGGAUGGCUUGGCUCGGGCGCCGAAGAAGGGCGUGCCAAGCUGCGAUAUGCCCCGGGUAGGCGCAAGGAGCCUCUGAUCCGGGGAUCCCCGAAUGGGACAUCCUGCUACGGCAAACCCGUAGCGGUUGCGCAGCAAUCGGGAACGCGGGGAAUUGAAACAUCUUAGUACCCGCAGGAAAAGAAAGCAAUAGCGAUGCCGUUAGUAGGGGCGACCGAACACGGCACAGGGCAAACCGAAUCCUUUGCCGAAAGGCAGGGGAGAUGUGGGGUUUGGACCCCGGUACUCCCAAAUGGUGAACCUGAAGUCGGCUGGAAUGCCGCGCCAUAGAGGGUGACAGCCCCGUAGGGGUAAGCCAGGAGGGAGAGUCCGGGUGUUCCAGAGUAGCGCGGGUUGGAUAUCCCGCGUGAAGGUGGGAGGCAUAAACUCCCAACCCUAAAUACGUCCCGAGACCGAUAGCGAACUAGUAGGGUGACCAAAAGCUGAAAAGUACCCCGAAAAGGGAGGUGAAAAGAGCCUGAAACCAGACGGUCACAGGCAGGUAGGGCGUGAAAGGCGUAAGCCAGCGUCCUGCCGUACGUUUCGAAAAACGGGCCAGGGAGUUCCUGGCAAUGGCGAGGUUAAGGCAGCAAUGCCGAAGCCAUAGCGAAAGCGAGUUCCCGCAGCCUUCGGGCAAGGGGAGAGGUGUGCUCGCCUCAAGUCAUUGUCAGGAGACCCGAAACCGGUCGAUCUAUGCGCGGCCAGGUUGAAGCCUCCUGAAAGGGAGGUGGAGGACCGCACCGAUUCUGACGUGCAAAUCGUUCGGAUGAGCCGCGUAUAGGGGUGAAAGGCCAAUCUAGACCGGAAAUAGCUGGUUCCCUCCGAAGCUUCCCUUAGGAAGUCCUCCGGCGAGGUAGGUGGUGCGGUAGAGCACUGAUUGGGUGUUUAGGGGGCGAAAGCCCUCGGCAUCCUGUCAAACUCCGAAUGUGCCACCGCCGUAGACCCGGGGAGUUCGGGCGUCUGGGGUAAGCUUGGCGUCCGAAAGGGAAAGAACCCAGCCCUGUGUUAAGGUCCCCAAGUGCCGGCUAAGUGUGACCCAAAGGGCGUCCACAUCCCAAGACAGCCGGGAGGUAGGCUUAGAAGCAGCCAUCCUUUAAAGAGUGCGUAACAGCUCACCGGCCGAGGGUGUGGGCCCCGAAAAUGGACGGGACUCAAGCCGGCCACCGAGACACAGGUGCUCCCGAAAGGAGCAGGUAGGAGGGCGCGGUGUAUGGGCAGAAGCUGGGGCGUGAGCUCCAGUGGACCGUGCACCGACGAGAAUCCUGGCGAAAGUAGCAGCAAAGUCGGGUGAGAAUCCCGACCGCCGAAGGGGCCAGGGUUCCACGGCAAUGUUCAUCAGCCGUGGGUUAGCCGGUCCUAAGGGUUGCCCCAACUGGAGCAACUCGAAAGGGAAGCAGGUUAAUAUUCCUGCGCCACUGUGGGCUAUACUCCUGUGCAUGACGCAUCCGGAUAGGCCGAGCAGCGCCGUCGCGCUGUCUAAGCGUUGAAACCCCCGGAGUGCCGUAAUGGCGAGAAGGGGGCGAAGACGUGAUGGGGUCCCCAAUUGAGGGGACUUCGGCUGAGUCCAGGUGCCCGUGAAAAGUGUGCAGGCGUGGCCCAUGGUGUCCGUACCUAGAACUGACACAGGUGCCCCUGGGUGAGUAGCCCAAGGCGUGUCGGCGUAAUCCGCCCGAGGGAACUCGGCAAACUAGCCCCGUAACUUUGGGAGAAGGGGUGCCUGCUCCGCGAAAGAGCAGGUCGCAGUGACUAGGGGGCUCCGACUGUUUAAUAAAAACAUAGGCGGCAGCAAGCCCGAAAGGGUGUGUAUUGCCGCUGAAACCUGCCCAGUGCGGGUACCUGAAAGCCGGGUUCAACCGGAAGAAGGGCCCGUAAACGGCGGGGGUAACUCUGACCCUCUUAAGGUAGCGUAAUACCUUGCCGCUUAAUUGGCGGCUUGCAUGAAUGGUCCAACGAGAGCCCCGCUGUCCCCGGGCGGAGCCCGGCGAAAUCGACUUACUGGCGCACAGUCCAGUGCCUCCCAGCCGCAAGCGAAGACCCUGUGGAGCUUUACUACAG
This 2107-nucleotide ribosomal RNA is filed under the name Candidatus Acetothermia bacterium. RNAcentral's name for it is "partial 23S ribosomal RNA". It matches the Rfam family "Archaeal large subunit ribosomal RNA", at positions 11 to 2186 of the family's 2987-position model. The record is from RNAcentral. Lineage: Bacteria; Candidatus Bipolaricaulota.